Molecule: ribosomal RNA, 253 nt
Filed under: uncultured bacterium
Lineage: Bacteria
Description: partial 16S ribosomal RNA
Rfam family: Bacterial small subunit ribosomal RNA
Source: RNAcentral
UACGGGGGGGGCAAGCGUUGUUCGGAAUUACUGGGCGUAAAGGGCUCGUAGGUGGCCAACUAAGUCAGACGUGAAAUCCCUCGGCUUAACCGGGGAACUGCGUCUGAUACUGGAUGGCUUGAGUUUGGGAGAGGGAUGCGGAAUUCCAGGUGUAGCGGUGAAAUGCGUAGAUAUCUGGAGGAACACCGGUGGCGAAGGCGGCCUUCUGGACGAGUACUGACGCUGAGACGCGAAAGCGUGGGUAGCAAACAGG